This is a long non-coding RNA of Equus caballus (horse), 2613 nucleotides long. The record is from Ensembl. Lineage: Eukaryota; Metazoa; Chordata; Mammalia; Perissodactyla; Equidae.
GCGGGGGCGUCCCCGGGCCCUGGCGCGGCGCCUGGAGCUCCUGCUGCUGGAAGCGCCAUGUGACCGUGACUCUGCACAAGCCGGGAACGCGGAGAAACAAAGGGCGGCUCAGCGGCCACCGGGCGCUCAGGCUGGCACGGAGGGCCCGGCCCCAACCCCAACCGGGGCCCCGCACUCUUGUCCCUACGGACCCUCGGUGCCCAGGGCGAGCAGGGAGGCGCCGGAUCCUGCUGAGGCCCGGGGCGGGGAGCGCGGCCUCCCAGGGAGCUGGGGAGGGAGGGCAGGCCUGAGGACGCUGAAAUGCAAGUGCGAGGCGGGGUGGGCGAUGUCGGGUCCGGGCUGGGCCGUGGAGUGUUGCAGGUUCCUUCCUCACGGCUGGCUCUGGCAAAUGACCCUCCCUGAACCUCUGUUUCUGUAAUAGAGGUGAAGAUAAUCGUCCCCACGCAAUUAUCCUAGGGUUAGGAGGCUUAAGGGAGGCGUCCCAUGUAGAGCGGUGAGGACAGCACAGGGUUGUCGGGCCGCAUUCUAGCUCCUCUCCCACAUAAACAUGCACAGGAUUUCGGGUCACUGAGCUGCCACUUUCCAGUCACAGCAGGGAUGUAGUUCCGGCCAGAGCACCAGGAAGAGGAGCAGGAUGGGGCAGCUGGCACAGGGCGGAGCCAGGGUGGGCACCGCUGCGUAUAUGGAGAGGGGAUUAGCACUGGGGCUCUAGCAGAAGCGGGGAGAUAGGAAAUCCCAAGACAGCCUGGUUAUCCGGCCCUGGCUCUCUCCCGGCCCUGGAUGGGAGUGGCUUGUCUCCUAGUCACUUUCCCCAGCCCAGGGGGAACAAAGGGGCUGGAGAGGGUGGGGGCCCACCUUGGAGUGGGCCUCAGGGUACAUUGAGACUCCUGCCUCCGCACCAGAUUUGCAGGUUUGACUUCUCCUGAGGAAGCCUCCACCCUAUGGCCACAAGGCCCUAGGGCCUGUAUUUACAGAGUUCUGAAUUUACCUGGCCCUAAAACCACGUGGCCUGUGCAUGCAUAAUAGAGGCCACAGCACAGAGCUCUUGAGGUAGUGGCCCAGUGGGGACUCUGGGCUUGGUCCCAGCUGGGGGACUGACGUUAAGGAUCUAGCCUCCGUUCCUUCCCUGCCUGGGGAAAAAGAGAAGAGGAGCAGUCCAGGCACUGGCGACAGCCUGUAAUAAGAGGCCCUGAGUGCCACCAAGAGCAUGGUUGGAGAGUGACUCAGCCUCGUUGGUGCCUCCUCAGCAUGCAGGUCUGUGUUCAGAUGUCCCCUUUUCCAGGAAGCCUGCUCUCUCCCCCAGCCCGGCCUCCUCAGUCACUUAGGACACCACCUAGCGAUUGCCUUUCCACCCUCAGGACAGGACCAACUGCUGCUACUGCCCACUAUUGUGUAUCCAGGACCUGGAAUACGACUAUGGACAUCUCAAGGGCAGUGUCAAGGACUCUCUUCUUUGUCACCCCUCUGAGCUGGACUCUGAGCUGGGCCCCAUGCAGCCUCUUGGCGGUGGUCAACGACGUCGCCUGAAUCAACUGGCUCCACUUCCUGCUUCCUCAUUCUGCUCAAGGUGUCACCAUGCUUACGGUCGAGGACACCGAUCUGGGCCCGGGAUCUCACCUGACUCUCUCCAGGCUCCCCAAGGACCAAAGCUCUAUUGUGGGAUCAAGGCCCCAUCUGCCUUCCUGGAGUUCCAACCAUGGCCUGCUGCCAAGUCCUGCUCCCCACCACCCUCCAUUGCCUUGUUCCCCCUGGAUUUCCACCACAGGUAACGGUGUGAAGUCAGGGUGAACUUAAUUGGGGUGAAGGAUGACUGCUGCAUUAAAUUGGAUGGAACUGGUCUGUUCAACCACUGCCCAUUAAAAAUGGUGGCCUUUCUUUAACAUAGCCAUAAUGAGACCAUCCCUCCAGAGAAAAGUGCUAAUAGAAUCACCCGCCUUGAAUGCUUAACUCUUACUCAAUGCCUUGACCUGGACGUCUGAUAGACAUGGCCCACAUACUAUCUAAAAUCAAACCUUUUCUUCCCCCCAAACCUGCUCAUUCCACAGCGUUCCCUAGCUCAGUAAAAGACUACAUGGCACCUUCGUUCUUUCAGUGCUCAGACCAAAACCAGUUUAAGGUCUCCUUUGAUGUGUUUCCUUUACUCACACUCUACAGUAAAUAUAUCAGUAAAUCCUUCAUUGGCUCUACCUUCAAAAUAUAUCCACCACUUCCCCUGCUGCCACUGUUCCUAGCCACUGAAGUCUUGACCAUGACCUCCCAGGCUCCAUGUCAUCUGGCCCACUGCCACCUCCCUGGUCUCAUCUCCUGCCACUCUGCCUACUUUGCUCCUGCUGCACUGGCCUUCUUGCUGGUCCUCAGGCACCACAGCCCACUCUUGCCUCGAGGCCUUUGCCCUGCUGUCCUCUCACUUGGAAUUUUCUCCCCGGGCACUCACAAUGCUGGCUUUCUCAUUUUCUUGUGGUCCCUGCCCAGAUGUCACUUCCUCAGUGAGACCUCCAGACCACCCUAUUUAAGGUAAACCCUCCCACAUUCAAUACUCCCACACGCUAGAUCCCUCUUUGCGUUUUUUUUGUUGUUGUACUUAUCACGACUUGGCAUAUCAUCUGUGUACAC